CCCGCUGGCGCUGCUCAUCCAAGGCAGCACCUCUGCUUUGCUCCUCCAUAAAUUCCCAUGGCACAAGAGGCAUUUAAAAGCCAAAGCAGUGCAGGUGUGGCUGCUUCCUGGGGUUAUCAGGUAGCUGAAGCAAAAGCUAUCAGGUAGUUUUCCACUCUUUGGAGAUGGAGUGUCCAUGCUCUGUGCCUGGCGCCAGUGCCUGCAGCAGCAAAUCCCAAAUGUGAGGGUUUCCCUGGCACCGCAUGCCGAAGGGGCUCCUCCAUCGAGACGACGUGCUCCUGAAGUACACUUCUGAAUGCCUGUAAUAUCGGUAAGAGUCCUGCGGCUGCUGGAGGUUGGGGUACUUAAACAUCUCUCCGAAGUAAUUAGUUGUGCUUUUAAAUUACUUACAGUUCCUGUCGUGCUGUAGGGGAUGUGUCAGGUUGUGACAAAGAAGGGAGCACGAAGCCAGCAGAGCAGGACGUGUGGUGGCAUCUGUGAUUUUUAAGCAUGCCACACAAGGUCACCUCUGCGCUCUCCCUGCACCCAGAGCCACUAUCUCCUGCCUGCCUGCUCAUCACAGUGUUCAGUGGUCUUUGCCAUGAAAUCGUUCAUUUUCUUUCACUCUUCUGUUCCCCUCAUAGCCAUCAGGACGUGCCCUUGACAGCGCCACGCGCCUUUAAGCCAAGCAAGCAAUAACACAGGAGAGGAUUUGCAGCCAUCGUGUCUUUUAUUGAGUGCAUUAAAGACAUGAGAUCAAAGGCUGGCUACUUUCAGCGCUACAAGAGUUCCCGUGGCACAUUACUAGGGAAAUUUUUUUCUACCAGUUCAAAUGGCUAUGCUAAUUUUCCAUUCAGCCUCUGUUUUUUUCCCUAAGCUCACAGGAUGAGUAAGGAUGUCCUCUGGCUUCUCCCAUCACAGACACUGCCUCACAGUGCUCUUGUCCUGAUCUGACCUGGCUGUCACGAAGCUCACUGUGGGUUUUGUACCUGUGCUCUGACUGUUGGGCUGGACCGGGACAUCACUGCUCUGCCGGAGAGAAACCUUUUGCAUUUCAGCCCAGGUUUCUCCACCGUGGAUCUUUGACCAUAUUCCAGCUUGUGCAGCCACCUCCACCGAGCACGUCCACGGAGCCAGACAAGUUUCUGGGCAGAUACCAAAUGUGGAGGUGCUCUGCCCCCAGCGCUGUGUGCUCCACGGGAAGCCUGAGACUGGGGUCAGGGCAAUAAAUACACCUUUCUUUCCUCACAUUGCAUUGCUUGAGCACCCAGUACCAUUUCCAGGGCCUGUCAGGUGCUGUGGAAAAAGCACUGCAGAGCAGCAACAUCCUAAGAAAGAGCAUCCAGAGGUGCCCAAGCUCUUCAGUGACUUGGGAGACAGCCAUAGGAACAGAGGUGCAGUGGCUACACUCGCAGAAGGAUGA
This 1402-nucleotide long non-coding RNA is filed under the name Anser cygnoides (Swan goose). Its description in RNAcentral is "lncRNA (ENSACDG00005016566.1)". Lineage: Eukaryota; Metazoa; Chordata; Aves; Anseriformes; Anatidae. The record is from RNAcentral.